This is a long non-coding RNA of Zingiber officinale, 268 nucleotides long. RefSeq lists it as uncharacterized. The record is from RefSeq and is a predicted model, not a curated record. The transcript has 5 exons. NCBI's taxonomy places the organism in Eukaryota, Viridiplantae, Streptophyta, Magnoliopsida, Zingiberales, Zingiberaceae.
AAGAGCACCUAUCUUGCCAUCUAAACCCCCUAAGGAGACCAAAGAGAUGGAUGAAAAUAAGAGUAAGAAGGGUCUUGCCGAGAUAUAUGAGGAAGAAUAUGCGCAGAAGACGGGUCUAGCUCCAGCUCUUCUUUCUGCUUCUGAUAAACUUAAGAUUGAGGCAACAAUGCUAUUCAAAAAGAUUUCCUUAAAGUUGGAUGCGCUGUCUCACUUCCAUUUUGCUCCAAAGCCGGUUAUUGAGGACAUGUCUAUACAAGUCAAUGUACCU